AUGGGCUAGAGCGGGGCUAGGGGUCCCGGCAUCGCAAAUCCCCUUAGGCGACUCGAAGGUCUGGGGCGUUUUGCCGUGGAUGUAUGCCCAGUAUCUUAAGCGUUGACGUCCUGCCUUAUGUGGCGGGAUUAUAUAUGAACCGGGUCAGAUCGGAAGAAGCAGCCCUAAAUGUAUCGUUCCGUGCUUAUAAGAUCCAGGAUUGAGUAGCGGAUAUUGGCUCCUUAUAUUCAUGUCAAGGCUAACUGGAAAGCCCAC
RNAcentral lists this non-coding RNA (255 nucleotides) under Microcaldota archaeon. Lineage: Archaea; Nanobdellati; Microcaldota. The record is from RNAcentral.